CUCCACCUCCUGCGAUGGAUUCUGCACGGCUCCACCACUCCCUGACGAGUCACGACAACGGACGCCGCUCCACUCUUCGCAACUGACUCCAUGUGGCGAGCCAUGGUGACAGCCACAACUCCCCCCAUUACUCUUCAUAAUAAACUCUUCCUGGCCUCGAGCGGCCCACUACUAGGCGGUUACACACGUCGCUAUCAAUCCGUUGCUCCCUCUGCCUAUAAAAAGGGGACCC
RNAcentral lists this long non-coding RNA (232 nucleotides) under Elaeis guineensis (African oil palm). Its description in RNAcentral is "long non-coding RNA (EGUI_LNC051901)". Lineage: Eukaryota; Viridiplantae; Streptophyta; Magnoliopsida; Arecales; Arecaceae. The record is from RNAcentral.